RNAcentral lists this ribosomal RNA (253 nucleotides) under uncultured bacterium. Its description in RNAcentral is "partial 16S ribosomal RNA". It matches the Rfam family "Bacterial small subunit ribosomal RNA", at positions 524 to 776 of the family's 1533-position model. The record is from RNAcentral.
UACGUAGGGGGCAAGCGUUGUCCGGAUUUAUUGGGUUUAAAGGGUGCGUAGGUGGUCUAUUAAGUCAGUGCUGAAAUAUCCCGGCUUAACCGGGAGGGUGGCAUUGAUACUGAUGGACUUGAGUAAAGUUGAGGUAGGCGGAAUUGACGGUGUAGCGGUGAAAUGCUUAGAUAUCGUCAAGAACACCUAUAGCGAAGGCAGCUUACUAAGCUUUAACUGACGCUGAGGCACGAAAGUGUGGGGAUCAAACAGG